AGAUGGAUCAUUCAAAGAGUAAUCUUCUUUUCAACCGGCUGUUGAUUGAAACAAACGAAUUGAAAGUGGUCGGCCUUUACUAAUCUUCAACAUUAUCAAGUCAACCUAUACAACUUUCAGCGAUGGAUGUCUCGGAUCUCGUAACGAUGAAGGACGCAGCUAGCUGCGAUACGCAGUGUGACUUGCAAACUUCUGAGAAUCAUUAGAUUUUUGAACGCAAAAGGCACUUCUAGGCUCUGCUUAGGAGUAUGCUCACUUCAGUGCUUUAUCUAUUUGUCAUCUCAAUUGGGAGAUAACGUGGAUAGAGGCUGUUGUUAAUGGCUUCUCGACUUGGUGGUCUCUGACUCUAAGGUGAUACCGAAGAGCAGCAGAGGCUAACUCUAAUCAAACAAGCCUGAAUUUGAGCAAGGCUACCCGCUGAAUUUAAGCAUAUUAUUAAGCGGAGGAAAAGAAACUAACUAGGAUUCCCUUAGUAACGGCGAGUGAACAGGGAAGAGCUCAAACUGAAAAUCGGCAGCUUGCUGUCGAAUUGUAGUCUCACGAAGCACAGCCUGUGAUGUGUCUGGAUUAAGUCUCUUGGAAAAGAGUACCGAAGAGGGUGAAAGUCCCGUCUUUGUCCAGAUGAUAUUACGUUCGGCGUGUUCUCAAAGAGUCGCGUUCCUUGAGAUUGGAGCGCUAAUUGGGUGAUAAAUUUCAUCUAAAGCUAAAUACUAACGAGAUUCCGAUAGCAUACAAGUACCGUGAGGGAAAGAUGAAAAGGACUUUGAAAAGAGAGUUAAAAGGAACUGAAAUCGCUGAAAGGGAAGUGGAGGGUUCUGACGGUCUAGCAGUUCUCUGCAGUCAUCUGAUUGCAAGAGAUCUGCGGUGACUCUGGAAGAGGUUACGACUGCUGAGGAAAGUCAAUGAGUUAUACCUUUGGUCUGACUUGUUGAUCGUUAUCAGUGACGUUGAUCUUCGAUUCUCUAGCUUGUUUCUUCAGUGAAUGAGCUACAGUAUUCCAGGGAAGUCGGUUCUCUCCAUCCCGUCUUGAAACACGGACCAAGGAGUCUAACUUGUAUGCGAGUACAAGGGUGCCAAACCCACGUGCGAAAUGAAAGUAACAGUUAGGACGGCCUAGCCUGCACUAACUCCCGGUUAAAGAACUGAGGCUGAGCAUACAGGUUUGGACCCGAAAGAUGGUGAGCUUUGCCUGAGUAGGGUGAAGCCAGAGGAAACUCUGGUGGAGGCUCGUAGCGAUACUGACGUGCAAAUCGUUCGUCAAACUUGGGUAAAGGGGCGAAAGACUAAUCGAACCAUCUAGUAGCUGGUUCCCUC
This 1314-nucleotide unclassified non-coding RNA is filed under the name uncultured alveolate. RNAcentral's name for it is "sequence contains 18S rRNA gene, ITS1, 5.8S rRNA gene, ITS2, 28S rRNA gene". The stretch from base 391 to 1314 matches the Rfam family "Eukaryotic large subunit ribosomal RNA", at positions 1 to 961 of the family's 3401-position model. The record is from RNAcentral.